UACGUAGGUCCCGAGCGUUGUCCGGAUUUAUUGGGCGUAAAGCGAGCGCAGGUGGUUUAUUAAGUCUGGUGUAAAAGGCAGUGGCUCAACCAUUGUAUGCAUUGGAAACUGGUAGGCUUGAGUGCAGGAGAGGAGAGUGGAAUUCCAUGUGUAGCGGUGAAAUGCGUAGAUAUAUGGAGGAACACCGGUGGCGAAAGCGGCCCUCUGGCCUGUAACUGACACUGAGGCUCGAAAGCGUGGGGAGCAAACAGG
Molecule: ribosomal RNA, 252 nt
Filed under: uncultured bacterium
Lineage: Bacteria
Description: partial 16S ribosomal RNA
Rfam family: Bacterial small subunit ribosomal RNA
Source: RNAcentral